UUUCAGCCAUUAAACACCCAAAAACUAGCAAUCAAAUGCCAUCUUAACACCUCCAAUUUCGACCAUUAAACACCCAAAAACCAGCAAUCAAAUGCCACCUUAACACCUCUAAUUUCAGUCAUUAAACACCCAAAAACACAGCUGCCGAGUUUCACCAAAAAUCAGCAAAAAGUGGGUUCCCUUAACUGAAGCUAAAAGGGAUUCGAGAGGCAAGUUUGAGUUCGCCGUCACUGGUUUCCGAUGGUGGUCGCUGGUGUUUGGUCCGUUGGUUGAGUUGCAAAUCUUUAAAAUUCGGACUCAGCAAUAAAGGUCCGUUUCUUUCACACAUGUACCGUGUCUUCCUAGUUAGAUUCAUAGAUUUUGUUUGAAUGAUUAUUUCGUCAAGUUUAUAUAUUUAUGCGAGUUUUGAAUCCAUAACUCGAACUGAGUUUACCUAAAAGUUCCAUUUUGUUUUGUUAGUAUUUGAGGAAGUUUGGGAAUUCGUUAUUGUUAUUAUAUAUUAGCAUGUUGUUUGGUCGUUAUCUUGAUUAGUUAAUCCAUUAUUUUGAUGUUAUUUGAUUAGCUGCUUUGAGUUAGAUAAAUAAUGAUGAUAUUAGAGGCAAAGCUAUUCUUUUUACCGCUGAAUGUUUGAGGCCUUAAGUAGUUGAUAGUAUUGUUGCAUAGCUUCACUAUUUCCUCUCAAUUGGAAUUAAUAUCUAGGGAUUAAAUGGCUACAGUUAGCCGAAUCUUGGUAAAUACUUUUAGCUGGCCCAUUUUCCUCAUUUAGUCCACAAUAAAUAAUUGUUAGAUUACUCCAAAUAGCUAAAAACUUCAUGUACUUCAAACACCUCCAUAUCCAUCAUUCAAUAGCCUCAUAAUAAUCUCAAAUUAGUUUAGAAAAAUAAUUCAAGUACGCUAGUUGCUUUAGGCGUGCUUUACAUAAUUAAAUAUCAUGGCUAUAGGUACAAUUCCCGUGGCAUAGUUGGGAUACGUAACCCCAAAUAUAAGUGCGCAUUCACGCGACUUGACCAAUCAAAUUUUAAAUAGUAAUAAAUGUGUUAUUGAUUAUGUACGUACGCGUGACAUGAUUCAUGACACGCCGAAUAAAGUUAGUACACGUACGCGUGACUUAUUACAAGAUAAUUUUCAUAAAUCUAAUCAAGCAAUAAAAGCGGACAUAGGUAAAACAUGAAAACCAAUACAACACAGUUUAUCCAAAAAUAAUAUAAACCAAAUAUAGUUAGUAAAGCGACUGCACUAGAACCACGGGACUCGGGGAAUGUCUUACACCUUCUCCCCGGUCAACAGAAUUCCUUACCUGGACUUUAUUUUCGCAGACCAAUAAUAAUAUAGUCAAACCUUCCUUUGAUUAUGGAUUCAAAUAAAAGGUGACUUGGAACACCGAAAAAUCAAUUCCAAGUGGCGACUCUGCAAAUAAAAUAAUCCCUAUUCAAAUUUGUCACUUCAAUUGGAAAAACUCUUUAACCCACAACCCAUAAUACAUAUAUCUUUUGGGGGUAAAAAGGGGUGUGACAAUGUGAGGUCUUGAUUAUAUUCUAUGUUAUCCUAUGUUAGUGUAAAACUUGCCCCGUGUGUUAUUCGAAACGAAAUAAGUAAGCUUUGUGAGUCUUGGAGAUGAUGUAGGCGUUUCUUUGAUUGCCCAUUGAGCUAGUAUGCCACCAUAAAUAAAAUUAAUCCUUAGAUAGCCCAUUUGAGCCUAUAAACCUUUUCUUUGGCACCUACAUUACAAGCCGAUUCCCUUUUUGUUCUUAAUUAGAUCUUUUGAACCUUUACCUCCGAAAGCACUUUAGUCGCUAGAAGAGUAAGGUGAGAGUUGAGGUAGCUUUUGAGUGAAAUCACAAAAAGGCCAAAAGGUGCACGUAUGUUUUGAAAGAUCAUUAUUCUGGCAACCCAAGUAUGGAGAGUGUUGGAAAACACAAUAGAAAAUACACCUCCUAUUCCUUUUAAUCCGAUCUAGUGAAUGCAUAGUUGUGCUUAAAGAAGAAGGGCCAAAUUGUAUAUUAUUUCGUGGCAUUGCUUGAAUUGGUCAUGAAAAAUAUGUAUUUGAAAGUUAAGUGUACUGUAUUAAAGUGCUUAGGAGGGUUAGUCACUAUACCCAAAUAUAUCCUACUCAUCCCUUAGCCUACAUUAUAACCUGGAAAGACCUAAUUGAUCCUAAACUUCGCAAGCUUAAAUUAGUAGAGACAUACACUACGGGCAAACUUAUGGAACGACCUCAGAAUGCACAUAAAUUUCUUUGAGAGAGUGAGCGAAUUCUUUCGAUUUGUAAGUCCUUAAAUUAUACUUAAAUACAUAUUUGAGUGUGUGAACUAAUUUCUCUCUUUGGUUUGUGGUGAGGGCACAUGAUUUAUAAAUGAUUGGUAAAGCCCAAGCAUUUUGAGUUGACACAACAAGUGAGUCAUAGUAGGGAAUGUAUUGGAGUCAUCUUUUAAGGUUAGGAUAUUAGAAGAAGUCGCACAAAUAUUUUAAAUAGUCUUGGCAUGGGUCUACUUUUGAAGUAAGAUGUCAGUAGUUCUUAUAUCGAGUUCUAAGUGUUGGUAUAAGCCAUUGUCAUUGGUAUGAUGCUUGAGUAUAUUUCGAAAAUGUGUUUCUUGCCAUUGUGCUUAAUUUUGAAAGUUGCUCGAGGACGAGCAAAAGUUUAAGUGUGGGGUGUUGAUAAACGGCCAAAAAUACAUAUUUUUCGGUGUACUUUCAUCUCAUAACUUAUGUGGUUGCGGUAGGUUACAUGAGUUUUUGUACUGAAUUAUGCUCAUUACGUGCAUUCUUAUGUUAAGGAGCAAGUUGGACAAAAAGUGAGCAAAAGAAGUUGAUUCGGGACCAAAAGACAAAAGAAGAACUUUGCUCGUUCAUUCUCGCGUGUACACAAGAGAGUGAAUGAGCUAGCUGAGGAAAAGCUUGAGAAAAAAUAACGGAUUAUGGCAAAAAGAUAUGGAAGUGCACGAGAGACCUAGAAGGAAAAGAAAAAGAGAAGCACUUCGCUCGUUCACUCUAGCGUGCACACGAGAGAGUGAAUGAGCUAACCUAAAAAAGUUGUUCCGAAGUGGGCUUGUAUUAUUUCACCCCAUGCAAACCCUAUCACAUAUAAAUAGUCCUUAAACUCACUUUUGAUAGGGGAUUGGACGUUUUUAGAGAGGAUUAUCGACCGAAGGAGGCAAGAACACACUAGGAGCAAGGCGGAGAAUUCUUCUACAAGUUUUUCACUUUCUUCUUCCUAUUUUCAUUAUUGGUUAUCAAUUCUAGUAUUGUAGUUUUGCAUACUAUUAUGAAUAACUAAUUUGUUAUCUAGGGUUUUGAUGGAACCUUUUAUAGGAUGAAUUCUUAUUACGUGUUUAUAUAAUUGAGCCGUUGGAUUUCUCUACUUGUUCAACUACGUGUUUAUUGUUGUUGAUUGAAUGACCAUCAAUUGACUGUGCCUAUUUAGUGUGUAUUGCUUGGAAAAUGAUACAUAUUUAGGUAGUUAUUGAGCAACAUCACUCCUAACGUAUGUGAGGAAUCAAUACGGAGGGUUUAAAGGUGGGAUUAGGAAUAACGAAACCUUGGUGCGAUCUUAGUUAGCGGUGAAUUAGUGCCAGCUAGCGUAGUUCGGAAGAAUAUGUCUAGUAAAUUAUUGUAGAUGCUCGGAAGAUAAUUACGACACCCGAAGUACUCAUGAUCGAUAGAGAAUACUUGGGCGAAAUUAUAGAAAAUAUAGUGGGAAGAAUUCCGACAAUUGGAGAAAUCAUAACUCUAGACCUCCUUAGUCUUGUUAGUUGAUAAUUUUACUACUUUUUGUAUUCGUUAAUUACUUAGUUUAAAAUCAAAAUUACAAUCUUUAUAACUAGGAAAUUAUUUGAACUUGUAUUUCUUAAUUAGCAAUACUAAACAAUUGUAGCUAAAACUUAGUUCUCUGUGAGAUUAGACUCCGAACUUUUAGACCAGAUUAUAUUUGCAGCGAUCGCUUAUCCUUUUUAGGAUUAGAGUUGGGCGUGAUCAACGGGGUCUGGGCAAAAUAUAUUACAUUGUAGAUUCGCCUCUCCGACGAAUUAGAUAUAUUACUGUUCUUGCAAGUUAAUAUUCGGAAAGAUAGAUGAACCUCGUCGUAAAUGACUUCAUGACAUCGGAUACAUCAAUUUUAAUAAAUAUGCUACAAAUAUUUUGUAGAUUCUACAUUAAACAUCAGUGAUUAUUGAUUAGACAAGCACAGAAAGAUUAGACAAGCCCCAAAAGAUGGUGGAAUUUAACAAGUCACAUGAUCGAUCAAUGAUCCCUCGCCACCUAUUAUUAAAACAAAGAAAGAGAGAAGUCAAGGAAGUCCAAAUCCACGAGCUUGGUAUUAUAGCAGUGGGCAAUUCAAGAAAAGGAGUAGCAAACAUCGCACUCACUAUAUUAAUAGUAAUAGUCGUUGCCUAGCAAGUAGCUAUGCACAGGCAUUGUUGAAGAAUGCAGACCACAUGGUC
Molecule: long non-coding RNA, 4436 nt
Filed under: Nicotiana tabacum (common tobacco)
Lineage: Eukaryota; Viridiplantae; Streptophyta; Magnoliopsida; Solanales; Solanaceae
Description: long non-coding RNA (NTAB_LNC013616)
Source: RNAcentral